GCAAACGCGCGUUCGAGCUGUUUAAGGGAUGGAAACGUUGGAGCGUAAGCCUGCGUUUUCCGUUCGAAAAAACAAUGCUUCAGCCGGAGGUUUCUUAUGAUGGAGUACACAUUCGUAGUCGUCAUACUGGCGGCUUUGUUUGGCGGGGGUACUGCCUUUGCGCAGGAGAACAGCGGCACUUCCGAGCAGAGGGCCGCGUGCACGCCCGAUGCCUUCCGGCUAUGCGCUAGCUUCAUUCCUGACGCCACGAAUGUGGAGGC
This 260-nucleotide unclassified non-coding RNA is filed under the name Hevea brasiliensis (rubber tree). The record is from RNAcentral. Lineage: Eukaryota; Viridiplantae; Streptophyta; Magnoliopsida; Malpighiales; Euphorbiaceae.